This is a long non-coding RNA of Bubalus bubalis (water buffalo), 1037 nucleotides long. RefSeq lists it as uncharacterized. The record is from RefSeq and is a predicted model, not a curated record. The transcript is spliced from 3 exons. Lineage: Eukaryota; Metazoa; Chordata; Mammalia; Artiodactyla; Bovidae.
CAAUAUCCCUAACCUUAAUUCUGAGAAAUAAAGCUCAGUCGUGUCCAACUCUUUGCGACCCCAUGGACUAUAGCCUACCAGUCUCCUCAGUCCAUGGAACUUUCCAGGCAAGAGUACCGGAGUGGGUUGCCAUUUCGUUCUCCAGGGGAUCUACCUGACCCAGGGAUAGAACCCCAGUCUCCCACAUUGCAGGCAGACACUUUACUGUCUGAGCCACCAGGGAAGCCCUAACUUUUCCAGGCAUUUAUGAUACAUUUAGCAAAUGUAUUCAACAAAUGGGUCUGCCCUGGUGGCUCAGACAGUACAGAAUCUACUUGCAACGCACAAGACUCAGGUUCAAUCCCUGGGUCGGGAAGAUCCCUUGGAGAAGGAAAUGGCAACCCACUUCAAUAUUCUUGCCUGGAGAAUUCCAUGGAAUGAAGAGCCUGGCAGGCUACAGUCCAUGGGGUCACAAAGAGUCAUACAAGACUGAGCGACUACACUUUUCAACAAACAGUUCCUGUCUAUCAUAGCCACUCAAGAAAUCAUCUCUCAUGCUUUGUGAAUUUCCAGAGGCCUGGCAGAGGAAGCUUUGCUUUGCCACUAAUGUUCUUCUGUCCUGGAGGCUGCCCAGCAAGUGAAGGGGAUUUAAAAGGCCAUUCACACCCUACAGCAAGGACAUGUCUCCUCUCCCUCCCCAGGAAGAAUUCUCAAACUCUGAGAGCUUUCUGAUCACUUCAAGAGACCGCACCACACCUACUCCGCAUUUAUAUUAAUUGCACACCAGGCUAAAUGUUGACUUUCUACCUUCCAGGAUCACCUGAGUGGGCUCCCACUGAUAAACCCUGAAGAGAAACGUAAUCAACAAUAGAAAUCAACAAUCACAGGAAAGUCACUGGGUGACUGUGUGCAUGGACAGCUGAAAUGAUUCCAGCCUCUACCCCUUUAAACUCCAGGGAGCAUCAACCUUAGCCAUCAUCGAAAUCAGCACCAGCGUGGAGCAGGAAUGAAGGCACAGGACUAAAUUGCAAAUGACACAGCUUCUCACUUCAGCUCAU